CGGCUGAUGGCGACCGGCGCACGGGUGAGUAACACGUAUCCCAACCUGCCUCAUACUCGGGGAUAGCCUUUCGAAAGAAAGAUUAAUAUCCGAUAGCAUAUAUUUCCCGCAUGGGUUUUAUAUUAAAGAAAUUCGGUAUGAGAUGGGGAUGCGUUCCAUUAGUUUGUUGGGGGGUAACGGCCCACCAAGACUACGAUGGAUAGGGGUUCUGAGAGGAAGGUCCCCCACAUUGGAACUGAGACACGGUCCAA
RNAcentral lists this ribosomal RNA (251 nucleotides) under uncultured bacterium. RNAcentral's name for it is "partial 16S ribosomal RNA". It matches the Rfam family "Bacterial small subunit ribosomal RNA", at positions 82 to 334 of the family's 1533-position model. The record is from RNAcentral.